Molecule: ribosomal RNA, 2904 nt
Filed under: Klebsiella variicola
Lineage: Bacteria; Pseudomonadati; Pseudomonadota; Gammaproteobacteria; Enterobacterales; Enterobacteriaceae
Description: 23S ribosomal RNA
Rfam family: Bacterial large subunit ribosomal RNA
Source: RNAcentral
GGUUAAGCGACUAAGCGUACACGGUGGAUGCCCUGGCAGUCAGAGGCGAUGAAGGACGUGCUAAUCUGCGAAAAGCGUCGGUAAGGUGAUAUGAACCGUUAUAACCGGCGAUGUCCGAAUGGGGAAACCCAGUGCAAUUCGUUGCACUAUCGUUAACUGAAUACAUAGGUUAACGAGGCGAACCGGGGGAACUGAAACAUCUAAGUACCCCGAGGAAAAGAAAUCAACCGAGAUUCCCCCAGUAGCGGCGAGCGAACGGGGAGCAGCCCAGAGUCUGAAUCAGCUUGUGUGUUAGUGGAACGGUCUGGAAAGUCCGACGGUACAGGGUGAUAGUCCCGUACACCAAAAUGCACAGGUUGUGAACUCGAAGAGUAGGGCGGGACACGUGGUAUCCUGUCUGAAUAUGGGGGGACCAUCCUCCAAGGCUAAAUACUCCUGACUGACCGAUAGUGAACCAGUACCGUGAGGGAAAGGCGAAAAGAACCCCGGCGAGGGGAGUGAAAAAGAACCUGAAACCGUGUACGUACAAGCAGUGGGAGCACCUUCGGGUGUGACUGCGUACCUUUUGUAUAAUGGGUCAGCGACUUAUAUUCUGUAGCAAGGUUAACCGUAUAGGGGAGCCGCAGGGAAACCGAGUCUUAACUGGGCGUUAAGUUGCAGGGUAUAGACCCGAAACCCGGUGAUCUAGCCAUGGGCAGGUUGAAGGUUGGGUAACACUAACUGGAGGACCGAACCGACUAAUGUUGAAAAAUUAGCGGAUGACUUGUGGCUGGGGGUGAAAGGCCAAUCAAACCGGGAGAUAGCUGGUUCUCCCCGAAAGCUAUUUAGGUAGCGCCUCGUGAAUUCAUCUUCGGGGGUAGAGCACUGUUUCGGCUAGGGGGUCAUCCCGACUUACCAACCCGAUGCAAACUACGAAUACCGAAGAAUGUUAUCACGGGAGACACACGGCGGGUGCUAACGUCCGUCGUGAAGAGGGAAACAACCCAGACCGCCAGCUAAGGUCCCAAAGUCAUGGUUAAGUGGGAAACGAUGUGGGAAGGCACAGACAGCCAGGAUGUUGGCUUAGAAGCAGCCAUCAUUUAAAGAAAGCGUAAUAGCUCACUGGUCGAGUCGGCCUGCGCGGAAGAUGUAACGGGGCUAAACCAUGCACCGAAGCUGCGGCAGCGACACUAUGUGUUGUUGGGUAGGGGAGCGUUCUGUAAGCCUGCGAAGGUGGCCUGUGAGGGUUGCUGGAGGUAUCAGAAGUGCGAAUGCUGACAUAAGUAACGAUAAAGCGGGUGAAAAGCCCGCUCGCCGGAAGACCAAGGGUUCCUGUCCAACGUUAAUCGGGGCAGGGUGAGUCGACCCCUAAGGCGAGGCCGAAAGGCGUAGUCGAUGGGAAACAGGUUAAUAUUCCUGUACUUGGUGUUACUGCGAAGGGGGGACGGAGAAGGCUAUGUUAGCCGGGCGACGGUUGUCCCGGUUUAAGCAUGUAGGCGGAGGUUCCAGGUAAAUCCGGUACCUUUUAACGCUGAGGUGUGAUGACGAGGCACUACGGUGCUGAAGUAACAAAUGCCCUGCUUCCAGGAAAAGCCUCUAAGCAUCAGGUAACAUUAAAUCGUACCCCAAACCGACACAGGUGGUCAGGUAGAGAAUACCAAGGCGCUUGAGAGAACUCGGGUGAAGGAACUAGGCAAAAUGGUGCCGUAACUUCGGGAGAAGGCACGCUGGUGUGUAGGUGAAGUCCCUGCGGACGGAGCUGAGACCAGUCGAAGAUACCAGCUGGCUGCAACUGUUUAUUAAAAACACAGCACUGUGCAAACACGAAAGUGGACGUAUACGGUGUGACGCCUGCCCGGUGCCGGAAGGUUAAUUGAUGGGGUUAUCCGUAAGGAGAAGCUCUUGAUCGAAGCCCCGGUAAACGGCGGCCGUAACUAUAACGGUCCUAAGGUAGCGAAAUUCCUUGUCGGGUAAGUUCCGACCUGCACGAAUGGCGUAAUGAUGGCCAGGCUGUCUCCACCCGAGACUCAGUGAAAUUGAACUCGCUGUGAAGAUGCAGUGUACCCGCGGCAAGACGGAAAGACCCCGUGAACCUUUACUAUAGCUUGACACUGAACAUUGAGCCUUGAUGUGUAGGAUAGGUGGGAGGCUUUGAAGCGUGGACGCCAGUCUGCGUGGAGCCAACCUUGAAAUACCACCCUUUAAUGUUUGAUGUUCUAACGUUGGCCCCUGACCGGGGUUGCGGACAGUGUCUGGUGGGUAGUUUGACUGGGGCGGUCUCCUCCCAAAGCGUAACGGAGGAGCACGAAGGUUAGCUAAUCCUGGUCGGACAUCAGGAGGUUAGUGCAAUGGCAUAAGCUAGCUUGACUGCGAGCGUGACGGCGCGAGCAGGUGCGAAAGCAGGUCAUAGUGAUCCGGUGGUUCUGAAUGGAAGGGCCAUCGCUCAACGGAUAAAAGGUACUCCGGGGAUAACAGGCUGAUACCGCCCAAGAGUUCAUAUCGACGGCGGUGUUUGGCACCUCGAUGUCGGCUCAUCACAUCCUGGGGCUGAAGUAGGUCCCAAGGGUAUGGCUGUUCGCCAUUUAAAGUGGUACGCGAGCUGGGUUUAGAACGUCGUGAGACAGUUCGGUCCCUAUCUGCCGUGGGCGCUGGAGAAUUGAGGGGGGCUGCUCCUAGUACGAGAGGACCGGAGUGGACGCAUCACUGGUGUUCGGGUUGUCAUGCCAAUGGCACUGCCCGGUAGCUAAAUGCGGAAGAGAUAAGUGCUGAAAGCAUCUAAGCACGAAACUUGCCCCGAGAUGAGUUCUCCCUGAGACUAUAAGUCUCCUGAAGGAACGUUGAAGACGACGACGUUGAUAGGCCGGGUGUGUAAGCGCAGCGAUGCGUUGAGCUAACCGGUACUAAUGAACCGUGAGGCUUAACCUU